Molecule: ribosomal RNA, 241 nt
Filed under: uncultured bacterium
Lineage: Bacteria
Description: partial 16S ribosomal RNA
Rfam family: Bacterial small subunit ribosomal RNA
Source: RNAcentral
GAUCAUGGCUCAGGACGAACGCUGGCGGCGUGCCUAAUACAUGCAAGUCGAACGCAUUUUCUUUCACCGUAGCUUGCUACACCGAAAGAAAAUGAGUGGCGAACGGGUGAGUAACACGUGGGUAACCUGCCCAUCAGCGGGGGAUAACACUUGGAAACAGGUGCUAAUACCGCAUAAUUCCAUUUACCGCAUGGUAGAUGGAUGAAAGGCGCUUUUGCGUCACUGAUGGAUGGACCCGCGG